CAGUAGCCGCGGUAAUACGGAGGGUGCAAGCGUUAAUCGGAAUUACUGGGCGUAAAGCGCACGCAGGCGGUUUGUUAAGUCAGAUGUGAAAUCCCCGAGCUUAACUUGGGAACUGCAUUUGAAACUGGCAAGCUAGAGUCUUGUAGAGGGGGGUAGAAUUCCAGGUGUAGCGGUGAAAUGCGUAGAGAUCGGGAGGAACAUCAGUGGCGAAGGCGGCCAUCUGGGACAACACUGACGCUGAGGCACGAAAGCGUGGGGAGCAAACAGGAUUAGAUACCCCGGUAGUCCCUGUCUCUUAUAC
Molecule: ribosomal RNA, 301 nt
Filed under: uncultured bacterium
Lineage: Bacteria
Description: partial 16S ribosomal RNA
Rfam family: Bacterial small subunit ribosomal RNA
Source: RNAcentral